RNA transcript from Sinocyclocheilus rhinocerous, 910 nucleotides. It is a transcript of the gene named RING finger protein 122-like, with no coding region annotated. The transcript is spliced from 4 exons. Lineage: Eukaryota; Metazoa; Chordata; Actinopteri; Cypriniformes; Cyprinidae. The record is from RefSeq and is a predicted model, not a curated record.
CAACCCUUGUUAAUGAAUGGUUUGGCCUGUUUUUCUCUGCAGUAAAUUGAGACAUCAAGCUCGCCAUGUGAGAGCUGGAUACAAGAUGAUGAGUGCACAUUAUAAAUGAUAUCAUCAGAAGGUAUUUGACACUUACAUCACACUUAAAAACGUCUCAGAUGCUGCAGGAUUUUUCUCUUCACUAAUGUCACUUUUCUUCAUGUUUGAAGUCUCGCUUUGAAUCUGCCGGUGAUUUUUAGUGGAUGUUUGAAGUCAGUUCUCCUCAGGUUCACACAGGUGUCCUAUUAGAGGAACCACAGGUGUAGAAAAUCACAUAAACUAUCAACACAUUCACUAACCUCAAACACAUUACAUUUUCAAGCUGAUCUUUGCCAACAGAGAAAAUGUGCUUAGAAAGUGUGCUUGUGCCAUUUCUAAAUGAAUGACACUUUCUGUGAUUUUUUUUAUUUAAUGCAGUGACUUUCAGACAUUUUUGUGUCAAUUAAGUUGUAUUUGAAGAUGAAACAACAUGGUUACAUGCACAUGGGUUAACAUGUGCAGUCUGUUUGGAGGACUUCAGGACAAAAGAUGAGCGUGGAGUGUUACCAUGCCAACACGCCUUUCACGAGAGGUGUCUGGUGAAGUGAGAUCUUCAUGUCCCAUAUGCAACAACCCCAUCAGUGCUGCUCUGGGGCAAACGCACAGCCCGGGAAACCUGCUGGAUGAGCUGCUCUAAACCUGCUUUUCUGCCAAACUCGAACCUCAUUAAGGUUAACUUCGAAUGAAGUUCUCUGAUACGGGCGACAUUUUUACCUAAUAAUCUUGUACAAUUCAGACAAAAGACGUUUAUUUAAAAGCUCUGCUGUUGCAAAGCAUCAUUUGUAAUGUUUUUUUGUAUGUCUGGUUUAAAAUGUUUGCAUAAUGUUUACAU